This 245-nucleotide ribosomal RNA is filed under the name uncultured bacterium. RNAcentral describes it as "partial 16S ribosomal RNA". It matches the Rfam family "Bacterial small subunit ribosomal RNA", at positions 524 to 768 of the family's 1533-position model. The record is from RNAcentral.
GACGGAGGUCUCGAGCGUUGUUCGGAAUCACUGGGCUUAAAGCGCGUGUAGGCGGGACGGUAAGUACCUUGUGAAAUCCCCGGCCUCAAUCCGGGAAUGGCUGGGUAUACUAUCGUCCUUGAGGCAGGUAGGGGUCGCUGGAACCUUAGGUGGAGCGGUGAAAUGCGUAGAUAUCUAAGGGAACGCCUGUGGCGAAAGCGGGUGACUGGGCCUGUCCUGACGCUGAGACGCGAAAGCGUAGGGAG